AGGAUAAACGCUGGCGGCGUGCCUAACACAUGCAAGUCGAACGAGAAAGUGGAGCAAUCCAUGAGUAAAGUGGCGACCGGGUGAGUAACACGUGACUAACCUACCUUCGAGUGGGGGAUAACAUCGGGAAACCGAUGCUAAUACCGCAUAACAUCGCAAGAUCAAAGCAGCAAUGCGCUGGAAGAGGGGGUCGCGGCUGAUUAGCUAGUUGGCGGGGUAACGGCCCACCAAGGCGAAGAUCGGUA
RNAcentral lists this ribosomal RNA (245 nucleotides) under uncultured bacterium. Its description in RNAcentral is "partial small subunit ribosomal RNA". It matches the Rfam family "Bacterial small subunit ribosomal RNA", at positions 26 to 285 of the family's 1533-position model. The record is from RNAcentral.